AUCCAGCUGCCGAUUCGUGGAUAAGACGAAACGUGCGUCCUGGAU
Molecule: non-coding RNA, 45 nt
Filed under: Schistosoma mattheei
Lineage: Eukaryota; Metazoa; Platyhelminthes; Trematoda; Strigeidida; Schistosomatidae
Source: RNAcentral